UACGAACUGUGCGAACGUUAUUCGGAAUCACUGGGCUUAAAGGGUGCGUAGGCGGCGGCUCAAGUCAGGUGUGAAAUCCCCCGGCUCAACCGGGGAACAGCGCUUGAAACUGGGUCGCUCGAGUGAGGCAGGGGUGUAUGGAACUUCCGGUGGAGCGGUGAAAUGUGUAGAGAUCGGAAGGAACGCCGGCGGCGAAAGCGGUACACUGGGCCUUGUCUGACGCUGAGGCACGAAAGCUAGGGGAGUGAACGGG
RNAcentral lists this ribosomal RNA (253 nucleotides) under uncultured bacterium. RNAcentral describes it as "partial 16S ribosomal RNA". It matches the Rfam family "Bacterial small subunit ribosomal RNA", at positions 524 to 776 of the family's 1533-position model. The record is from RNAcentral.